CGUAGGGUGCGAGCGUUAAUCGGGAAUUACUGGGCGUAAAGCGUGCGCAGGCGGUUUGUUAAGAUAGGCGUGAAAUCCCCGGGCUCAACCUGGGAACUGCGCUUAUGACUGGCAAGCUAGAGUACGGCAGAGGGGGGUGGAAUUCCACGUGUAGCAGUGAAAUGCGUAGAGAUGUGGAGGAACACCAAUGGCGAAGGCAGCCCCCUGGGUCGAUACUGACGCUCAUGCACGAAAGCGUGGGUAGCAAACAGGAUUAGAUACCCUGGUAGUCCACGCCCUAAACGAUGUCAACUAGGUGUUGGAUGGGUAAAACCAUUUAGUACCGGAGCUAACGCGUGAAGUUGACCGCCUGGGGGAGUACGGCCGCAAGGUUA
RNAcentral lists this ribosomal RNA (374 nucleotides) under uncultured organism. Its description in RNAcentral is "bacterial SSU rRNA". It matches the Rfam family "Bacterial small subunit ribosomal RNA", at positions 526 to 896 of the family's 1533-position model. The record is from RNAcentral.